UCUUGGUCAUUUAGAGGAAGUAAAAGUCGUAACAAGGUUUCCGUAGGUGAACCUGCGGAAGGAUCAUUAUUGAAAUAAACCUGAUAAGUUGUUGCUGGUUCUCUAGGGAGCAUGUGCACACUUGUCAUCUUUGUAUCUCCACCUGUGCACCUUUUGUAGACCUUGGGUAUCUAUCUGAUUGCUUUAGCAACUCAGGAUUGAGGAUUGACUUUCUGUCUCUUCUUACAUUUCCAGGCCUAUGUUUUUCAAAUACCCUAAUGUAUGUUUAUAGAAUGUAAUCAAAUAGGCCUUUGUGCCUAUAAAUUGAUACAACUUUCAGCAACGGAUCUCUUGGCUCUCGCAUCGAUGAAGAACGCAGCGAAAUGCGAUAAGUAAUGUGAAUUGYAGAAUUCAGUGAAUCAUCGAAUCUUUGAACGCACCUUGCGCUCCUUGGUAUUCCGAGGAGCAUGCCUGUUUGAGUGUCAUUAAUAUAUCAACCUUUUKUUUUUUGGUUGGAUGUGGGUUUGCUGGCCACUUUAGAGGUCAGCUCUCCUUAAAUGCAUUAGCGGACAAUAUUUUGCCAAACGUUUCAUUGGUGUGAUAAUUAUCUACACUAUUGAUGUGAAGCAAGGUUCAGCUUCUAACAGUCCAUUGACUUGGACAAUUUUUUAUUUAUUAAUGUGACCUCAAAUCAGGUAGGACUACCCGCUGAACUUAAGCAUAUCAAU
This 707-nucleotide ribosomal RNA is filed under the name Calonarius elegantior. RNAcentral describes it as "eukaryotic LSU rRNA". The stretch from base 311 to 464 matches the Rfam family "5.8S ribosomal RNA". The record is from RNAcentral. Lineage: Eukaryota; Fungi; Basidiomycota; Agaricomycetes; Agaricales; Cortinariaceae.